RNAcentral lists this long non-coding RNA (1604 nucleotides) under Macaca fascicularis (crab-eating macaque). Its description in RNAcentral is "lncRNA (ENSMFAG00000063844.1)". Lineage: Eukaryota; Metazoa; Chordata; Mammalia; Primates; Cercopithecidae. The record is from RNAcentral.
AGCGUUCGGCGCCCUGCAGACUCCGCCUUCUCGAGUUCUGGGCGGUGCUCACCGCGGCUUACUACUCUUCAGGCAAAGCGACAGAAUCAGGAGGUGUAGAGGCAUUCUUUGAGUGUUCUUGUCGGUUCUGUUUUGGAAGCCUCAGAAUCUUCUUGGGUUGGCUCAGAUUGCUGCAAAGUAAAAGCUGUAUUUCGGUGGGGCCGGAGAGGCACAGUCCUUCGUAGGACUCUGGCCCGCGUCCUGGCUCCGUCCCGUGCUGCCUUCGGACUUCGCCGAGCCUUAUUAUCUGAAAUUUUCACGUCGGGAAGGGAUCGUAGUCUACUGAGAGCUGUUCUGAGCCCAGAGGAGUUGUGUGGUGCUAAAUAGCUGUUCACCUCCCUUACACUGGAAAGCGUUGUAAUGAUAAGCCUACCUAACCUGUCAGGGAUUUUUUCUGGAAACCUUUUAAGACAGUUCAUAUUUAUUGAGUUCUGAGUGUUAGGCUAUGUUCCAAGGGGCUUUUUAAAAUCCUCGUAGCAACCCUGUGAAAUCAGAAAUUGCCCUCGUUUUACAAAUGAGUUGAAUGAGUCCAAGUAAAAGGUUAAGCAGUUUGUCUAGUAAGCUGGGAUUUGUUUCCAGUCUAGUUCCAGAUUGCAUGCUUUUAAAUACAUACUAGGCUCCAUGCAUAGAAUCUAGUACUAUUCACCAAUCCUGUUAAUUGGUAUGUAUUGUUCUUUAGAAAGAAAAAAGGUGUCAGCAUUACUUACGUUUCCAAGCACGUUGAUACUAAAGAGUUAGGAAGGAUUUAACUCCGAAUGGGUAUGGUGUUUUUCUAGGUGAGGUACAAAAACAUGGUGUGGGCAAUGCCAUUUUGGGAUGGCUUGAUCCUUUUGGGCUUCCAUAACAAAAUACCAUAGACUGGGUAGCUUAUGAACCACAGAGGUUUAUUCUUCACAUUUCUGAAGGCUGGAAUGUCACAGAACAAGGUGUGUCUAGGAAGGAGUGCUUUCUGUUCAGUGGAUAGCACCUUCUGACCCUGUCCUCACAUGGUGGAGAGGCAGAGGCCCUCCCUUGGGCCUAUCUUAUAAGGGCCUUUCCUUUCUUCCCAUUCCUCACUUCCCAAGAGGCCACUUGCCAAAACCAUCAGUUUGGGGGUUAGGAUUUCAAAAUGUGAAGUUUGAGGGACAUAUUUAGACCAUAGCAUAGGGCGUGUUUUUAAAGUUGCUUUCUUGGCCCUGGAAUGGCAAUGCAGUCGUCUGAACUGGUCUUAAUCUACCAGGAAUGGGCCUAAAUUUUGAAAAUAUUUCUCGUUAAGGGAGUAAAAUAAGUUUUAUGGGUUUUUUGUUUAAGAAAGGAUUCAUUUAUUUACUCUGAUAUGCUUACCCACUUCUGUGAUGUCAACCAUGGGUAGUGACCUAACAUUAAUUUACUUCAGCAGAUAUCUUUGUCUGCCUUGAAUCCUGCAUCCCCUAGGCUAUUCAAUUGUAUUGAUUCUGUUAACUCUUACACAUUUACUUUCACCUGUGUCUCCUUCCUUUUAUCAUUUUGUGAGUAAAUAAUUUUUAAUUUGCCAACAAAUCCUAAUGUGGACGUAGUCAAGUUGUGAAAUAAAGUGAUUCUUGGUA